UACGAAGGGGGGCUAGCGUUGCUCGGAAUCACUGGGCGUAAAGGGUGCGUAGGCGGGUCUUUAAGUCAGGGGUGAAAUCCUGGAGCUCAACUCCAGAACUGCCUUUGAUACUGAAGAUCUUGAGUUCGGGAGAGGUGAGUGGAACUGCGAGUGUAGAGGUGAAAUUCGUAGAUAUUGGGAAGAACACCGGUGGCGAAGGCGGCUCACUGGCUCAUAUCUGACGCUCAGGCGCGACAGCGUGGGGGAUCAAACAGG
This 255-nucleotide ribosomal RNA is filed under the name uncultured bacterium. RNAcentral's name for it is "partial 16S ribosomal RNA". It matches the Rfam family "Bacterial small subunit ribosomal RNA", at positions 524 to 776 of the family's 1533-position model. The record is from RNAcentral.